Molecule: non-coding RNA, 21 nt
Filed under: Arabidopsis thaliana (thale cress)
Lineage: Eukaryota; Viridiplantae; Streptophyta; Magnoliopsida; Brassicales; Brassicaceae
Source: RNAcentral
UACAUGUUGUGAUUGUUGGCC